GCGGGGAUAACUCAGUUGGGAGAGUGCCAGACUGAAGGCAACUUCAGACAAUGACAUCUGGAAGUCCGCGGUUCAAUCCCGUGUCACCGCA
Non-coding RNA from Diaporthe sp. PMI_573, 91 nucleotides. The record is from the annotation of a GenBank genome assembly. Lineage: Eukaryota; Fungi; Ascomycota; Sordariomycetes; Diaporthales; Diaporthaceae.